RNAcentral lists this ribosomal RNA (942 nucleotides) under uncultured bacterium. Its description in RNAcentral is "bacterial SSU rRNA". It matches the Rfam family "Bacterial small subunit ribosomal RNA", at positions 9 to 962 of the family's 1533-position model. The record is from RNAcentral.
GAGUUUGAUCCUGGCUCAGGAUGAACGCUGGCGGCGUGCUUAACACAUGCAAGUCGAACGGUGAAGCAGAGCUUGCUCUGUGGAUCAGUGGCGAACGGGUGAGUAACACGUGAGCAAUCUGCCCCUGACUCUGGGAUAAGCGCUGGAAACGGCGUCUAAUACCGGAUACGAGCUGCGACCGCAUGGUCAGUAGCUGGAAAGAAUUUCGGUCAGGGAUGAGCUCGCGGCCUAUCAGCUUGUUGGUGAGGUAAUGGCUCACCAAGGCGUCGACGGGUAGCCGGCCUGAGAGGGUGACCGGCCACACUGGGACUGAGACACGGCCCAGACUCCUACGGGAGGCAGCAGUGGGGAAUAUUGCACAAUGGGCGAAAGCCUGAUGCAGCAACGCCGCGUGAGGGAUGACGGCCUUCGGGUUGUAAACCUCUUUUAGCAGGGAAGAAGCGAAAGUGACGGUACCUGCAGAAAAAGCGCCGGCUAACUACGUGCCAGCAGCCGCGGUAAUACGUAGGGCGCAAGCGUUAUCCGGAAUUAUUGGGCGUAAAGAGCUCGUAGGCGGUCUGUCGCGUCUGCUGUGAAAACCCGAGGCUCAACCUCGGGCCUGCAGUGGGUACGGGCAGACUAGAGUGCGGUANGGGAGAUUGGAAUUCCUGGUGUAGCGGUGGAAUGCGCAGAUAUCAGGAGGAACACCGAUGGCGAAGGCAGAUCUCUGGGCCGUAACUGACCCUGAAGAGCGAAAGGGGGGGGAGCAAACAGGCUUAGAUACCCUGGUAGUCCACCCCGUAAACGUUAGGAACUAGUUGUGGGGUCCAUUCCACGGAUUCCGUGACGCAGCUAACGCAUUAAGUUCCCCGCCUGGGGAGUACGGCCGCAAGGCUAAAACUCAAAGGAAUUGACGGGGACCCGCACAAGCGGCGGAACAUGCCGAUUAAUUCGAUGCAACGC